UUGACCUACGGGAGGCAGCAGUGAGGAAUAUUGGUCAAUGGGCGAGAGCCUGAACCAGCCAAGUCGCGUGAGGGAGUACUGCCCUAUGGGUUGUAAACCUCUUUUGUCGGGGAGCAAAAGCCGGACGUGUCCGGCUGUGAGAGUACCCGAAGAAAAAGCAUCGGCUAACUCCGUGCCAGCAGCCGCGGUAAUACGGAGAAUGCGAGCGUUAUCCGGAUUUAUUGGGUUUAAAGGGUGCGUAGGCGGUUCGAUAAGUUAGAGGUGAAAUCCCGGGGCUCAACUCCGGCACUGCCUCUGAUACUGUC
RNAcentral lists this ribosomal RNA (305 nucleotides) under uncultured bacterium. Its description in RNAcentral is "bacterial SSU rRNA". It matches the Rfam family "Bacterial small subunit ribosomal RNA", at positions 332 to 637 of the family's 1533-position model. The record is from RNAcentral.